This 626-nucleotide ribosomal RNA is filed under the name uncultured bacterium. RNAcentral's name for it is "bacterial SSU rRNA". It matches the Rfam family "Bacterial small subunit ribosomal RNA", at positions 60 to 712 of the family's 1533-position model. The record is from RNAcentral.
AGUCGAACGAGGUAGCAAUACCUAGUGGCGCACGGGUGAGUAACGCGUGGAUAAUCUGCCCUUCACUGGGGAAUAACUAAUCGAAAGGUUAGCUAAUACCGCAUGAGGCCACAGUUUCUGAGGAAGCAGUGGUUAAAGAUUUAUUGGUGAAGGAUGAGUCUGCGUGGGAUUAGCUAGUUGGUGAGGUAAUGGCUCACCAAGGCUACGAUCUCUAACAGGUCUGAGAGGAUGACCUGUCACACUGGAACUGAGACACGGUCCAGACUCCUACGGGAGGCAGCAGUAGGGAAUAUUGCGCAAUGGACGAAAGUCUGACGCAGCGACGCCGCGUGAGUGAUGAAGGCCUUAGGGUCGUAAAGCUCUGUUGCAGGGGAAGAAAAAAAUGACGGUACCCUGCGAGAAAGGAUCGGCUAACUUCGUGCCAGCAGCCGCGGUAAGACGAGGGAUCCUAGCGUUGUUCGGAAUCAUUGGGCGUAAAGCGCAUGUAGGCUGCCAUUCAAGUCAGUUGUGAAAGCCCCGGGCUCAACCCGGGAAGUGCUUCUGAUACUGUUUGGCUUGAGUACUAGAGAGGAUAGUAGAAUUCCAGGUGUAGUGGUGAAAUACGUAGAUAUCUGGAGGAAUACCGG